UCCGGAAUUAUUGGGCGUAAAGAGCUCGUAGGCGGUUUGUCGCGUCUGCCGUGAAAGUCCGGGGCUCAACUCCGGAUCUGCGGUGGGUACGGGCAGACUAGAGUGAUGUAGGGGAGACUGGAAUUCCUGGUGUAGCGGUGAAAUGCGCAGAUAUCAGGAGGAACACCGAUGGCGAAGGCAGGUCUCUGGGCAUUAACUGACGCUGAGGAGCGAAAGCAUGGGGAGCGAACAGGAUUAGAUACCCUGGUAGUCCAUGCCGUAAACGUUGGGCACUAGGUGUGGGGGACAUUCCACGUUUUCCGCGCCGUAGCUAACGCAUUAAGUGCCCCGCCUGGGGAGUACGGCCGCAAGGCUAAAACUCAAAGGAAUUGACGGGGGCCCGCACAAGCGGCGGAGCAUGCGGAUUAAUUCGAUGCAACGCGAAGAACCUUACCAAGGCUUGACAUGGGCCGGACCGGGCUGGAAACAGUCCUUCCCCUUUGGGGCCGGUUCACAGGUGGUGCAUGGUUGUCGUCAGCUCGUGUCGUGAGAUGUUGGGUUAAGUCCCGCAACGAGCGCAACCCUCGUUCCAUGUUGCCAGCGCGUAAUGGCGGGGACUCAUGGGAGACUGCCGGGGUCAACUCGGAGGAAGGUGGGGACGACGUCAAAUCAUCAUGCCCCUUAUGUCUUGGGCUUCACGCAUGCUACAAUGGCCGGUACAAAGGGUUGCGAUACUGUGAGGUGGAGCUAAUCCCAAAAAGCCGGUCUCAGUUCGGAUUGGGGUCUGCAACUCGACCCCAUGAAGUCGGAGUCGCUAGUAAUCGCAGAUCAGCAACGCUGCGGUGAAUACGUUCCCGGGCCUUGUACACACCGCCCGUCAAGUCACGAAAGUUGGUAACACCCGAAGCC
RNAcentral lists this ribosomal RNA (888 nucleotides) under Arthrobacter sp. RNAcentral's name for it is "bacterial SSU rRNA". It matches the Rfam family "Bacterial small subunit ribosomal RNA", at positions 544 to 1428 of the family's 1533-position model. Lineage: Bacteria; Bacillati; Actinomycetota; Actinomycetes; Micrococcales; Micrococcaceae. The record is from RNAcentral.